CUCAGGUCUGCAGGCUGUCCGCUUGUCUCUGGCAGCUGAAGCUGCACCCGCUAAAAGUGUUCAGUAAACACAGAGACAGCGCUGUCUGCCCAAACAUCGCGUUAGUUGAGCGAUAUUUCGUGACUUUAGUUAAAUCGUGAUAUCUGUUAGCUAAAGUGACGUUAGCUCUGACGGCGGGCCUCGAGCAGCCACGUGGAGAAAACGGAGAGAUGAAAGACAAGGUGGACCUCAGUGUGGCGGCUCUUUGCAUGAGCCCAACAGAUGUCCAGUCGGGUAUAACAGGUCUCCUCAUGUCCCUGCAGGACGGGUCAGAAGAAUGGGUCUAUGCAAGGUGAUGGAGGCACGUUCAGCCACGACUGAGGUGUGAGCUGCCAUAAGAGCUGUUAAAUCGUCGUGCAGCGCUGCCGAUGCGCCCUGUUAAACCAGCUUGACGGCGGUUCAUUUCCUGCAGGUUGGGUGCAUCAUCUUAACGGGGCGCAGCUGCAACUUCUUCUUUGAGACGGAGCUUGUGUCAAGCCAGUCUGAUGUGUCCCCUGAAGUCUGCAUUGGAGUAAAUUCACAGAGUUGGAUCAAGCGGUUGAGGAAACUGCCUCAGUGUGCUGGCAAAGCUACAUGUGAUGACAGGAGGACUCGUGGACAUGG
Plectropomus leopardus (leopard coralgrouper) is the source of this 642-nucleotide non-coding RNA. Lineage: Eukaryota; Metazoa; Chordata; Actinopteri; Perciformes; Serranidae. The record is from RefSeq and is a predicted model, not a curated record.